GCGGGUGUAGCUCAGUGGUAGAGCGCAACCUUGCCAAGGUUGAAGUCGUGAGUUCGAACCUCAUCACCCGCUCCA
RNAcentral lists this transfer RNA (75 nucleotides) under Rickettsiales bacterium. RNAcentral's name for it is "tRNA-Gly". It matches the Rfam family "tRNA". From Rfam's summary of the family: Transfer RNA (tRNA) molecules are approximately 80 nucleotides in length. Their secondary structure includes four short double-helical elements and three loops (D, anti-codon, and T loops). Further hydrogen bonds mediate the characteristic L-shaped molecular structure. tRNAs have two regions of fundamental functional importance: the anti-codon, which is responsible for specific mRNA codon recognition, and the 3' end, to which the tRNAs corresponding amino acid is attached (by aminoacyl-tRNA synthetases). tRNAs cope with the degeneracy of the genetic code in two manners: having more than one tRNA (with a specific anti-codon) for a particular amino acid; and 'wobble' base-pairing, i.e. permitting non-standard base-pairing at the 3rd anti-codon position. The record is from RNAcentral. Lineage: Bacteria; Pseudomonadati; Pseudomonadota; Alphaproteobacteria; Rickettsiales.